Molecule: transfer RNA, 63 nt
Filed under: Fukomys damarensis (Damara mole-rat)
Lineage: Eukaryota; Metazoa; Chordata; Mammalia; Rodentia; Bathyergidae
Rfam family: tRNA
About the family: Transfer RNA (tRNA) molecules are approximately 80 nucleotides in length. Their secondary structure includes four short double-helical elements and three loops (D, anti-codon, and T loops).
Source: Rfam by way of RNAcentral
GAGGAUGUAGCUCAGUGGUAGAGCACUUGCCUGCCAUGCAGGAGGCCCCAGGUUCAAUCGUCA